RNAcentral lists this long non-coding RNA (275 nucleotides) under Actinidia chinensis (golden kiwifruit). RNAcentral describes it as "long non-coding RNA (ACHI_LNC005081)". The record is from RNAcentral. Lineage: Eukaryota; Viridiplantae; Streptophyta; Magnoliopsida; Ericales; Actinidiaceae.
AAGCCGCUAAAGUAGGAUGAAUCCAAUCAGUAAAAUGGGUUCUAUAGAAAGUACAUCUAUUCCUAAUCUCUAAUGGAAGUCAAAAAAAUUUAGAUUAAUCACUAGGUAUAAUUACAUGAGGUGAAAGUGCACAACUGAGAAAAUAUGUACACCUUCAGAAGAGAAAAAAGGAAUUGAGAUAAUGGUAUUUUGAAAGUGGAUAAGCAAUUGAUUGAUAAUUAUUGUUCGUGUAAGUUACACUUCCCGCUAUCGUUACGCCUUGUUAGCGGUGGAAA